CACAUUCUCGCCUGCCAUGAGACGUGUGAAAGACUACAUACCGAUCGAGUCUUUGCCUGAUUUGAUGCGGGCUUUGGGAUACUUUCCUUCGGAGUAUGAGGUGGAAAACAUAAUAGUUGAAGCAAAAUACAAAGUGUAUAACCGAGUGCCGUGCACUGAAAUAGACUUUGAAGAAUUCGUCAAGCUGUAUCUGAACCAUCGACCAGCUUUUGGAGAUAAUUUCAAAAAGAUCA
RNAcentral lists this unclassified non-coding RNA (233 nucleotides) under Melitaea cinxia (Glanville fritillary). RNAcentral's name for it is "misc RNA ENSMCXG00005011571.1". The record is from RNAcentral. Lineage: Eukaryota; Metazoa; Arthropoda; Insecta; Lepidoptera; Nymphalidae.